Molecule: non-coding RNA, 73 nt
Organism: Luteibacter yeojuensis
Lineage: Bacteria; Pseudomonadati; Pseudomonadota; Gammaproteobacteria; Lysobacterales; Rhodanobacteraceae
Source: Rfam
GGCUCGGUAGCUCAGUUGGUAGAGCAGGGGAUUGAAAAUCCCCGUGUCGGCGGUUCGAUUCCGUCCCGAGCCA